This 887-nucleotide ribosomal RNA is filed under the name uncultured Marinobacter sp. Its description in RNAcentral is "bacterial SSU rRNA". The stretch from base 121 to 887 matches the Rfam family "Bacterial small subunit ribosomal RNA", at positions 1 to 774 of the family's 1533-position model. The record is from RNAcentral. Lineage: Bacteria; Pseudomonadati; Pseudomonadota; Gammaproteobacteria; Pseudomonadales; Marinobacteraceae.
AUUGAACGCUGGCGGCAGGCUUAACACAUGCAAGUCGAGCGGUAACAGGGGGUGCUUGCACCCCGCUGACGAGCGGCGGACGGGUGAGUAAUGCUUAGGAAUCUGCCCCAGUAGUGGGGGAUAGCCCGGGGAAACCCGGGCUGGCGGCAGGCUUAACACAUGCAAGUCGAGCGGUAACAGGGGGUGCUUGCACCCCGCUGACGAGCGGCGGACGGGUGAGUAAUGCUUAGGAAUCUGCCCAGUAGUGGGGGAUAGCCCGGGGAAACCCGGAUUAAUACCGCAUACGUCCUACGGGAGAAAGCAGGGGAUCUUCGGACCUUGCGCUAUUGGAUGAGCCUAAGUCGGAUUAGCUAGUUGGUGGGGUAAAGGCCUACCAAGGCGACGAUCCGUAGCUGGUCUGAGAGGAUGAUCAGCCACAUCGGGACUGAGACACGGCCCGAACUCCUACGGGAGGCAGCAGUGGGGAAUAUUGGACAAUGGGGGCAACCCUGAUCCAGCCAUGCCGCGUGUGUGAAGAAGGCUUUCGGGUUGUAAAGCACUUUCAGCGAGGAGGAAGGCCUUAAAGUUAAUACCUUUGAGGAUUGACGUUACUCGCAGAAGAAGCACCGGCUAACUCCGUGCCAGCAGCCGCGGUAAUACGGAGGGUGCAAGCGUUAAUCGGAAUUACUGGGCGUAAAGCGCGCGUAGGUGGUUAGGUAAGCGAGAUGUGAAAGCCCCGGGCUUAACCUGGGAACGGCAUUUCGAACUGUCUGACUAGAGUGUGGUAGAGGGUAGUGGAAUUUCCUGUGUAGCGGUGAAAUGCGUAGAUAUAGGAAGGAACACCAGUGGCGAAGACGGCUACCUGGACCAACACUGACACUGAGGUGCGAAAGCGUGGGGAGCAAACA